RNAcentral lists this ribosomal RNA (400 nucleotides) under uncultured bacterium. Its description in RNAcentral is "bacterial SSU rRNA". It matches the Rfam family "Bacterial small subunit ribosomal RNA", at positions 355 to 749 of the family's 1533-position model. The record is from RNAcentral.
UCGGGAAUUUUGGGCAAUGGGCGAAAGCCUGACCCAGCAACGCCGCGUGAAGGAUGAAAUCCCUCGGGAUGUAAACUUCGCAAGAAUGGGAAGAAUAAGUAGAAGAUAAUACCUUCUAUGAUGACGGUACCAUUUGUAAGCUCCGGCUAACUCCGUGCCAGCAGCCGCGGUAAUACGGGGGGAGCAAGCGUUGUUCGGAUUUACUGGGCGUAAAGGGCGCGUAGGCGGCCACGACAAGUCAGUUGUGAAAUCUCUGGGCUUAACUCAGAACGGUCAACUGAUACUGUCGGGCUAGAGUGCAGAAGGGGCAACUGGAAUUCUCGGUGUAGCGGUGAAAUGCGUAGAUAUCGAGAGGAACACCUGCGGCGAAGGCGGGUUGCUGGGCUGACACUGACGCUGA